GGUCGGUUCGGUUCGGGUCGUCGGGUUGUCGGUUGGUUAAAAAGGGUUGGACCGGUUUACAUUGGUCGGAUUCGGCUUGCAUUCUUGGGCCCGUCGGAAUCCGAAUCCGACCGAAUCCAGUGAUGCUUCUAUGGGCCUUCUACACAACCUAGUUUAAGUCCAUGUUUAACUUGUUCACUUAACCCAAUCCAGACGAUUUCAUUUCUUCUGUUCUUAUCUUUCCCUAACCCUAAAACUCAACCUUCAUCUUUAAAUCUGCGCCGCACUUCCUUUACUCCGUUCCUAGUCCAAAUCGUCUUAUCUAUGUUUCUGCUUUGGUGUUCCAUAUACCAUAUCUUUCAUUAUCUCUUCAUGUUGCGUCUUCACCUCCUCUAUAUCUUCAUUUCACCGAUAAUUUCUACAAGUAUCUCAGUAUUCAAAAGUGUUUUUCCUCUUUGCAGAUCUCUCCAUUGACAACACCAACACAAUAGUUUAUCUGAAAGGCAUGUUAUUCUAUAGUUUUUGAAUCUCAUAGAUAUAUUAUGUUAUGGUUUUAUUUGUUUUUGUAACUUGUGAUUUUUAACUUUUAUCAUUUCUUAAUUUUCUUGUGCUUUUCUCCAACUUUAACUUUUUUUUUACAUGGAAGAGCUCUUGAACAAGCAGAGGAAGCAUGGAUCUGAAGCUUGAAGCAUGGAUCUGAAGCUGGAAGCAUGGAUCUGAAGCUGGGAGAUGAAACAAGCAAGCAGAAAGCAUGGAUCUGAAGCUGGAAGAUGAAAUAAGCAAGCAGAAAGCAGGGAUCUGAAACUGGGAGGUGAAAUAAGCAAGCUGGAAGCAGGGAUCUGAAACUGAAAUAUGAGAUAAGCAAGCUUUUAUUUGUAUUCUCUUAGCUAAGAGAGUUUUUUUUUUUUAUUUUGUGUGCUGAAAAUGAGACAUUAUUUUAUUAUGAGUUCAUGCUAAAACGAAAUAGUUUGAAAAAGAUCUAGUGAAAUAUGAGUUCAUGCUAAAAGUAAAAUGGUUUCACAUAGGCAUGGUUCUGGUUUGACAAUAAAUCAUGUAAUUGGAGAUAGUUUUGGUUCUGCAUCAUAGUUUUUAUCUUAUUUAAUUGUUAAUGAUUAAGUUAUCAACAUGCUUGUGAAUUCUAGAUCUACUUAUCAAUAUAAUUGGAGUUCAUGUUUUUGUUGAUGUUAUUGUUUGUUUUCAUUGUAGUUUUAUAUGUAUAUCUGUAUCAUUGAAUUGAUGACCUAAAUUAUUAAACUGUCAUGUAAUAUUUGAUAUUUUGUAGAUAAAAAAACAUUCAAAUGAUUAUGGCACUUGAUGCAGGGUGGCUCAUCAACAAGGAAUUAGAACAAACAACAAGCAAAUAUGAUGAGUCUCUAAAGCUUUCUCAAAAAGAAGAGUGAUGGAUCAAAAUAUGAGAUGACUUAACUUAAACAAUGAUGAGUUUGCUUCUUAUUUUCACAUAUGAAAUGGUAGCUGGAAGCUUGAUAGUUUGUUUCAUUGACUAAGAUUAACACAAGAUCAUUACAAAGUCUUUGAAAAAUGAAGCUUGGUAAUUGAGAAUGGCUAAGGAUCAUUAUAAAGUCAGUUUUGAAACAGAAGCUUGAUUUGAAAUGAAGCUUGGAAGAAUUAUUAUUUCUUGAUAAAUGGCCGUAAUAAGAAAAUAAAAUAUAUAUUGAGAUGGAAAUUAAGUUAUUAAAGUAUGUCUAUCAGAAUUUUGUUUUAUUAAUUA
Long non-coding RNA from Vicia villosa (hairy vetch), 1708 nucleotides. RefSeq lists it as uncharacterized. The record is from RefSeq and is a predicted model, not a curated record. The transcript is spliced from 3 exons. Lineage: Eukaryota; Viridiplantae; Streptophyta; Magnoliopsida; Fabales; Fabaceae.